UUUGACCCACGAAGACAGACUUACCCAACAGAGGAACAAGGAAGCCUGAGUACAGUGUGGUGUCUGUCAUCUAGAUCCAUCCUCCAGCCGGAUAACCUGAAUCUGGAAAAAAGGAAAAAGAAAAACUGACCAUCAGACCAUGACUUCCAACUCUUGCUUACAAAAUAUGCUCAUAACACAUAUGUGACUUCGCUAGCAUUUACUUUGUGAUACCAAUCCAGAAAUGGAGGCAAGGGAAAGUGAGGAGUAAGCACUCCCAGGCAAAGCUGUGACACAGAAUGAUGCUUCUUUGAACACAACUGUGAUGGUACUGAGUGGUGGCUCAAGUUUAUGCAGUUUGUACUUGGAAGCUGUAAUGGUGUGUGAUUCUUAGGGGAGUCCAUUGUAAGGCCUGGUUUCUACCUGGGAUGUGGACCAGCUCAGGAACAUUCGUGCAAGAUGUGGUUAGGUUGAGGCCACUCUGUCUCUCCCACACCUGCUUCUCAACAUGGACAUCUGCCUUUGCUCUUUCUGCUACUUACAUGCUUGCCUCCUACAGUCAAUCCAGCAAAUCAGAAAUACUA
This is a long non-coding RNA of Callorhinus ursinus (northern fur seal), 563 nucleotides long. RefSeq lists it as uncharacterized. The record is from RefSeq and is a predicted model, not a curated record. Lineage: Eukaryota; Metazoa; Chordata; Mammalia; Carnivora; Otariidae.